RNAcentral lists this ribosomal RNA (492 nucleotides) under uncultured bacterium. RNAcentral's name for it is "partial 16S ribosomal RNA". It matches the Rfam family "Bacterial small subunit ribosomal RNA", at positions 29 to 507 of the family's 1533-position model. The record is from RNAcentral.
AGUGAACGCUGGCGGUAGGCCUAACACAUGCAAGUCGAACGGCAGCACAGUAAGAGCUUGCUCUUACGGGUGGCGAGUGGCGGACGGGUGAGGAAUACAUCGGAAUCUACUUUUUCGUGGGGGAUAACGUAGGGAAACUUACGCUAAUACCGCAUACGACCUACGGGUGAAAGCAGGGGAUCUUCGGACCUUGCGCGAUUGAAUGAGCCGAUGUCGGAUUAGCUAGUUGGCGGGGUAAAGGCCCACCAAGGCGACGAUCCGUAGCUGGUCUGAGAGGAUGAUCCGCCACACUGGAACUGAGACACGGUCCAGACUCCUACGGGAGGCAGCAGUGGGGACUAUUGGACAAUGGGCGCAAGCCUGAUCCAGCCAUACCGCGUGGGUGAAGAAGGCCUUCGGGUUGUAAAGCCCUUUUGUUGGGAAAGAAAAGCAGCAGGUUAAUACCCCGCUGUUCUGACGGUACCCAAAGAAUAAGCACCGGCUAACUUCGUG